RNAcentral lists this long non-coding RNA (212 nucleotides) under Carica papaya (papaya). Its description in RNAcentral is "long non-coding RNA (CPAP_LNC001710)". Lineage: Eukaryota; Viridiplantae; Streptophyta; Magnoliopsida; Brassicales; Caricaceae. The record is from RNAcentral.
AUAUGGGCACCAAAACACAUAUAGGCUCCAUACCCCGUCCGGUAUGAGAGACCACAAUCCCGGUAGGGUUCCCUACGGACCUGGUCCGUCCACCAUCUCCCAGGAUAUCUAGUCAGGCUGACCACAUUAUGCAAUUAUCAAUUUACAUAACCUUUCAUUCCCCUUUUCCCCAGUCAGCAUCAUCAAUUGACACACAAACAAGCAAACCAAUA